ACCAUAAAAUGGUGCUCAUAAGAAAGUCACAGGUCUGACAAUUAAGCUGCACCAGGAUUUCACGGUUCGGAUUUUCCCUUUCUUAGCUGGGCUGUUCAUUUCCUUACAAGCAGGAAUGCUGUUUGCUCUCCAAGCCGAGACGAAGAAGAGAAGCGAGAACAGUAAGAGGUUUUGUAGCAAAUCAACCGAACCUUGUGUCAGUGAGAUCAAAAUAGAACCAACAGGAACUUUAAUCUGUCUCUGCUACAGAGAGAUGAAAUCAGUGCAGGCUCCAUAAAAUAAGAGUAAUGGAAACUGUUCACGGUUAUGAGUAUCUGCAACAACAAAGUGUCUCCCAUUAAGUGAUGCACUGAAGCUGUGCAGAUGAAGUUAUAUGCUCUGGUACCACAACGAGGUACAAGUCAACCAAAAAGGAGUCUUUUUUCAUAGGUUUUGAGAGCCAAGAUCUGAAGACGUCUAGAAACACAAUUUUGACACAAAGACUUUGGUUUCAUGUACAUUUUCCUCCGUCUCCCCAUUUCAACUGUAUUGACACUGCGUUGAGCCAAUUGUUUUUUCCCACCAUUUCCACCACCUUUGCCACGGAUUUCAAUUCUGAUCCUUUUCACAUUCAUCCGUGCAUACAAUAAAUAUUUAAAGGACCUUCAUAUUCAUUGACUCAAACACACGGAUUCCAAAAGAACAGCGUUUUAUUUGCUUAAAAACAUCUGUUAUAUUCACAAACAGAGCCACUGCCUAAAUUUACAGUCGUAACAAAAUAAUUAGAAAAAUAAUUAGAAAACAAGCAUUUCUGAAAGACCACUAUUUGGAUGAGACAUCCAGACUAUCACACUAGGCUGACAAACGUACUGAAGACAAAACCUUCAGACAGUGACUAUCAUGAAAAGCCACACACUUUAAAACGUAUCUGCCCCUGACGAAUCUGAAUCCCCAUGAAUGCUACUUAGACUUUGUGUCUGGUCAUCUAUAUUCAUGGAAGGCAGUUUCACUGACAUCCUUUCUGCAGAAACGUGUGAAUGGAAAUGUGGGACAACACCUUCUCCUAGGAAAAAAAAAAACAAAAAGCAGAACAAAACCACGUUAUUUGCAGCCUACAACAUAGACAACUUAACUGUACUGAAUUCAUCUCCAUAUCGCAUCACCCCAUGGGAAUACAAAGACACAGACAUGCUCACUGUCUGCAGUUUUGAGGCAUUUCAGAGUAUGCUGAUUUAGCCAUCACGGUUUUCUUGAUAAGACAACAAAGGCAUGAAUAUCUCUGCAUACACAGGACGGAUUGUAUUUACAUACACCUACCUACACAUGUAUACAUGCUGUGAAAAGUCACAGCAGCGCUCAGUCCCCAUCUGGGAAGCACUGGAGGGAGAGAAAACAACCUGCAGGCAGGUACCAGAGGUAAAGGGGAGGGUGAUGGGCAGAUGUUACUGCAUUUAUCCCCAGGAAGGAGACGAGAUGCAGUCAGUUUGUGGAGCUGAGGGAGCAAGGCAUGAAUCAGGCUACAGACAGGAAAAAUGGAUGAGUGGUAUAGCAUUCACAGAACCAGAAAGAGUGUUUUGAGAUUGCAGUUGUCCUUGGGAUAUUUAUUUUAAAUGCAGCAGCUACAAGCAAAACAAACAUACAUGAGUCUGUGCUCAACAGCAAAGGCUCUUCUGGAGUUUGUUCUUAUUCCAAUGAGCUAUAACAAUUCUCCCUUCCUCUGUCACAGGCUAGGUAAUUAAAACACUAUUUUCUCAAUGAAAAAAGAAAGCUAGGCUUCCUUUCACCCCACUUAAUUAUCUACUAUGUCACUGUAGUGGUAAUCUGCUUUCAUCUGCCUUGUAGCGAAGCACGCUCCAAACGACUAAUUAAAAUAACAAAAACCCACUGCUAAAAUAAAAUUUCAUUGGGUGUUUUUCAUGCUGGAGCAGCUGCCAACAGCCUAGGAAGUCAAACACAAAUGAAGCGAGAGAUGGUAAAGCCAGUUCAUGGAGCAGCCUGUGCCAGCUGAGCCUCCUGCACCUCGGGAUGGCAGCAAUAGCACAAGAGCACGCGUGUGACCCCUGGGAACCAACAUCACCUGCCUGCCACAGCUGCUCACGCGCUAUGCAAGAAGCAUUGGCUGUAGUUUGACCACCGUCCUCACUUCUUGGACAGCCUUCUUCACUCCCUUCCUGAAACCCUCAGCACAGCGCAGAUGCCAAGGCUUGUACUGGCAUGGGCCCAAGCAAAUCUAACACAGGAGCAGUAAGAUGGCAUGAGAAAUUCAACAUCUUCUGAACGUGAUUCCAAAGCACAUUACAGUAACACCACAAGGAUGUGCAAGUAACAUAUGCGUUUUGUUUUCCCAGGAGUACUUCCAUGAGCUUAGUCUGUAACCAUGUUCGCAUGACAAAAAUAGGUUAUUCAGAAGGGGAACAGAAGAAAAGCAAAGCGUUUAUUUGGGUAGACGUGAAGCUGACACACAGUAAAGACGUGGAUGUGUAAUGCCCAAGGAAGUCCUGUAAAUCAUCCAAGACACCAAAGCAACCCUUCAAUUCUGUAUGUAGGUUGAUGCUUUCAAAGCUUGACUUUGUUAAUAAUUUCCACAGCCAUGUCAUAUUCCAUGAGGUCAUUGUUUCAACAGCUGUUUUCAGGUUUGUAAAAAAAAAGGGGGGGGUGGGGAGAAAAUAAGAAUAUUCCCUUAUCCCAAAGGCUCUGUAGUAACUUUGCAAGCAUUUGACUCCGGGGUGCUGAAAGACCCUAUGAUAUCAGUCUACAUUCUUCUUAACGCGUACUCUAAUAUAUUUUACAGACAUACUGCAGUUCAAUUUUAUGACAGAUGUAAAAUGCUAACAGGACAGAGAAAUCAACUGAAUAAUUCCAUCUGCUUGCUGAGAAAUUAGCAGGUCCUGAGUUAUCCAAAUAUCCCUAAAGAAAGGUCUAAGAAAUAACCAAAGCAAACACUUCUCCUCUUGAAAUCUGGUCUUUGACUUUGUUAAGAUACAAGAAAAUACAGAACCUAGAUUUUCAGCACUUUCACUAUAAAAUAUGAUGGAUAUCCUGUUUCACCUACUCAAUAAGCUCGGCUCUAUGACUGUAACUUCCCAAGACAGAAAGCUGCUAGUCCUACCACUAUGCGGGCCCGAAGAUGAAGCUGUUACAUUACCCCCACAUGUGCUUUAUCAUUAUCACCUCUCACUUAUCUAACCUCUGGCAUGUACUGUGCACACAUACAGAGAUGUCUAUGUGGAUAAAUACACAAACACAAGCAUGCAAGCUUAAAUGCUUCUUUCUAUGUUCACAUACAAGCUUUUAAGCAUACGCAUUUUCCAGUGUCUAUACUGAGCUUUUGCUGUCCAUCAGUGAUGGAGCUUGGACAGUCCUUGUCCAGGUCCUUAACAUGAUACUCCAUUUUAUUUCUUCCCCCCAUAGGAGAACAGCUCACAACCAACCCUAAGAUGCUUUCCUCUUACACACCAAACCCUUCACGGUCAUAAAUACGCAAAUAGCAUUGGUGCUUAUAACCUUCUGAUACGCUAUAAAAUAAACAUGGAAAAUUCCUCCAUUUCCAAAGCAGGGCAGGGCAGGACGAUUGGUGAUCUUCACAGCUUUUUCCCUUUAGAAGUUCUGGAAGCACUCAAAACAAUUCUGUAAUCAUGUACUUAGAUGUAUUUAUAAAACUUUUCCUUGUUAAAAUCCAAUAAACGGAAUGAGUGAUCCCAGGUGACCUCCACUUCUCCGAAUUCAUUGUCACCAUCUAAAAGAAUACUUUCAUAUAAACUGUGAAAACUGACACCCUUCCUACGUGUGUGUAAGGGACUCUGAAUGGUACAAACUCAACGGUGACUGAAAACAUCUUGAUGACCCACUGAUGGAAAAUGUCAGAUCUGCGAUCAGGGAUUUUGCCUGUGCUUGGCAAUCUAUAACAAAUUCGUGUACAGUACUAAAUUUCCAGAUCUUUGUUUAACAGAAACAUAAAAAUUAAUGGUGUGUCAACCAUCCAGUGACCUGUGAAGGGAGUUUUUCUCUAAGACAUACCGUCACACAGAGAGUAUGCUAUAUACAAGUGUAUCGUGAAUGUGUGCCAAAUGGAAAAGGAAUUAAACACACUGAAGGGAGGUUUUGUUACUCAUACCAUAUGGCAACAAUAAGAACAAAGAGAAAUGUUUAAAUCUUUCUUUUUAAAUUCUUAGAUUUGGCAAAAUAAAAAGACUAAACAAGUCUGACUUUUAAGCCAAAUACAAACCACGUGCUUUAACUCCUUACGGUCGGCGUCCAUACGUUAAAUAAAGUUUCCAUUUUUAAUUUAUCAGGAGGUAAAUCGGACCCUUAUCUUAUCGAUAAAAGGACUUAUCUUCAUACACAAUAAAUAGGGAGGAUUGGGACCCAGGUUAUUGUUGUAGUAUAAAACCGGAACCGUAAUUACUCUAAUUAACUGCAUAUUACUUCCUGAAAUUUAUAAACAACCAUCACCCUCCAGAACCCUCCCUCUGUUCUCUCUUCAAUGUAAAAGCUGCAGCAGCUAACUUCUAGAGCAAGAAUAACUUUCCAAGCAUAUGAAAAAAAACAAGUCCACUGCAGAACUCCCAUUCCUUUAAUAGCAUGGGUUGAUAUGAAUGGCUUGUUUCUUCUCCUGCCAGGUUCCAGCUGCUUCACUUUGUUUAUUACCGACUUCAAAGUUUAAAAUGCUGUCCUGUCCCAACAAAUAACUUCCUCCAGAUGGCAUUAUCUCCAGUGUUCAGAGCACUGGGGAUAGCACAGCACCUGCAAAUCUGUAACUCGGCAUCUUAAAACCCCCCAAUGAAAGUGCCUUAAUCAUAGAAUCAUAGAAUCACAAAGGUUGGAAAAGACCCACAGGAUCACCCAGUCCAACCAUCCACCCCUCACCAACAGUUCUCACUAAACCACGUCCCUCAACACAACGUCCAAACGUUCCUUGAAUGGCUCCAGGAUUGGUGACUCCACCACCUCUCUGGGGAGCCCAUUCCAGUGCCUGACCACUCUUUUCAGAGAAGUAGUAUUUCCUAACAUCCAGGAAAUGCUACUUCUUUGACAGACAAUAAUAGUUUUUACUCCAUCCUUCCCCCAUUUUAUCCACUCAUUUUCAUACCUAGUUGUACAGUUACCAAGCACAGCAGGGCAAGAGGCAGUAUUGUAUUUUCUGCAAAAUCAAGAUUAUUCCAGACUUAAUGGGUUGAUAUAUAUCAAUAAGAAACAGGUGUAUUUUGAUGUAAGCAGUCCCGAAGGCUAAACUGAAAAGAGAAAAUAUACUGCAAUGUCAGUCAUGCUGCUAAUUAUAUUAUAAGAAACAGUAUUUCCAGUCAAGUCUCAUGUCAAGCUAUACCCUGUGUACUGAACACAUAACUCAAUGUUUCUAGAAUUUAAUGGCUUGUACAGUUGAAAGUUGAUAUGGUAAGGAACUGGCCAGAUGGCAUCAAGAUGGCAAAGAAUGCAACAUUCUCAGAAGGGAGCACAGCCAUCAGUGGUUUCCCAAAUAACCCAGUCAUUUGGACAAAAUUAUUCUCCCUUCAUUAGAAACCAUAGGUCACAGAAUCACAGAAUGGCCUGGGUUGGAAGGGACCUCAAGGAUCAUGAAUCUCCAACCCCCUGCCGGGCAGGGCCAUCAACCUCCCCAGGUCCUCCACUCUUCUAGCCCUGGUCCACUUCCACCUUGAAUUCAUAUGCAUAUUUAUGCUACUAUGGAGAAGAUGUCUUUUCCCAGCUCAGCCAAAAACGAAGCAAAAAUGUUUAAGCAUGUGUGACUGUGAUCUCACUGCUUAGCAGAGGGCUCUUAAAGGCAGGUCAGAUCUCCGGCACGUCUCUAACCAUGGGGUUAGAAACACAAAAGCAAGAGAACAAGAUGCUCUGCAAAUGCAAGCAGUCUUGUUCUCUAGCUCAAAAACAGAUCAUCCAUAACUUAAAUGCUUUCAUGACAAACAGAAAAUUCUCUAGGCAAACCGAGGCCAAAUUUCCAGGGCUGAGUUACACGAAAGGGAUAGAUUUACAAUUAAAACACAUCAGAUAUUCUACAGAAAUGGACUGAUAUCUGCAGGAUUUGAGCCAAAAAAUAGCUGGAUCUGAAAGCAUGAGUCUACUGCUCGAGCUGAAAAAACAGUUUCACUCUUGAAAACUUCAGCCAACUCAUAAAAUCAAAUAAGUGGGCUACAGCCACCAGAGGAGACAGAAAACUCCAUACUGUGACUUCAGCUGAAGGUUUGACCUAAACUUGGCAAAUUCUAUCUUCACAUGGCCUAGUGUACUUACGGAAAUUGUGUGUACAUAUACACAGAAAAUAAACACGCAGGCACACACACACUCUUUUCUCUUUUUUGUUUGUUUGUUUAAACUCCAAUGUAUAUCCUGGCUAUAAACAUUUGGGAAAAGGAAAUAAAUCAGAUCCUGAGUCAGUAUGGGAGGGUGGGGUACAGGCGAAGCAGCCAACACGUUUUACAAAGCAGAAUAUUUGAAAAUGGUUUUUCCUCCUCUCAAGUCUGAGUUCAAGGUUCAGUGGUUUUCCAAAACAUGUGAUAUUCCCACCAAUAGUAACACUAAACAGAACAAAAACGAGGAAUACAUAAAAUAAACUAGAACCAGAUUGUUCAAAAUCCUAACGGAGUUGUUGGAGACCGGUAGGGAAGGGCAGACAGAAAGCAGCUCCAAAAACAUCUAGGAAUGAGAUUGCAGAGUUUACUAAAUAAAUAUUUCCUUUUGGUGACUAAAAUCUACUCUCCUCCCUUCGAUCUGACAUACUUUGUGCUGUGCAAUAUCUCACUGUUCAACAAUGAAGUUCCCUGGCUGUAACUCUUGCUGUUGUUUCCCAGCAACUCGCUUCCAGAAGAUGUGCAACGAUCUUUCCACGGAGAGAAGGGGUCAUCUGCAGUAGACCUGGAAGCAGCGAGUUCUAUUCAGAAGUAGGAGGCAAUGAACAAACAGACAGCAGAAGGAGGAGGUCCAUUACUGGUACAGAAACUCUGGGAAAACACCACGAAAACAAGCAUCUUGUGCAAGGCCUGGGGGGAGCAAUCUCAGUCCACAAAAGAACCCAGAAGGACACGUACCUACCUCUAGAUACAGGAAGCUGCUGGGAAAUAAAAACUGACCGACCACAUAAACUCAAGUAAGAGCUUUAAAGAAUUCUUGCUGAGGACCGAGUUCAACAAAAAAUGCAUUCUGUUCACUGUACACACGACACCAAUGGGAAUAAGGGCCAGUUCAAGUUCUAAGUUACCAUUACUUGGGUAAUAGUUUCAAGCUGCAAGGCACAGCUGUAUAGGCCCAGCCAGACAGGCUAUCACAGCAAUGCUUUGAUAGCAUGGGGCCCUUAAGUGUCAGGAUAUAGAAAAGGCAGCAGUUGUUGGCUGUGAAAACAGUCUGAUACAAACCAGAUGGGGACUUACUUGAUGGGCAACACAAAGGAAAACAAUUGGCUCAUUCAACAAAGUCAGGCCACUGCCCCAGAGAAUUAACAGAAGACAAUAACAGUCAACCAGAGUUGAUGCAAACAAGAAACAGCCAUGUGGUUACGGUUUAAGGAAUUGUUUCUCCUCAGACUAAACAUAAAGUUUUGAUUACUAAUUCUUAUAUUCAUUAAUUUCAGUCUGGUUUACAAGCACCCUCUUCCUCCAAAGCCUUCCGUGUCAUUCAUUUACGCGGCACCAGCCUUCGAGCACCUCCUUAACCCCCAAAAAUCACACGGCGAGGCAGGCCGCGUUCAUCCAACGGCCCCUGAAGAACGCCAAGACCACAGAGAGCUUCCAGAGCUGUGUCAGAACGGCACAGCAGAUGCACGGCACGCGGUGCGCUAUCGGACACAAACACUGGCACGAACACGGCUGCAAAUUUACUGAUUCGUUCUGGUUUUAAGCGGACGGAGCCCAGCGGGCCGUGUGUUGGGCAGCCCAGUCCUGUGAAGAGCUCUGUUGGUGUUAGUUAUUUUACUCCAUCAGAAGCAAACACCACAUCAGUUAUGUUACCACAUCACGGCUUUGUCCGUCAGGCUACAGUUGGAAGUCUGUUAAAAUAGCUAUUAUUAAACUUUUUUUUUUUUUUUUGGAGUCAUCAGAAAUCUUAAAAUGGGUUAUUUCAGUCAUAACUGGAAAAAUCCCCAAGCCAGCCCCUUUUAGAAGCACGCUCGUAGAAGAUUAUGGGCCAAAAUCUUAAUUGCUCUUGCUGUUUUAUUACAGGAAAUAUAAAAGUGACAUGUGCAAAGGUAUUUUGAUUACAAAUUACUUACAGAGAUUGCACAAUAAGUCAGACCACUGAGGGCCUUCUGCAAUUUCACUCUCAGACUGAAAACAUCUGAACUCUCUUUGCUUACACUCCAGAAUAUUCUCUCUGCUGAGCUCUGCGCUGUGGUGCUCUCUGUGCGUGCACAAAGUUGGAUGGCACACACUGAAGGACAGACACACACUUGGGACACCCAACUCGGUGCACCUACAAAUCGCAGUGACACACAGACGUUCCCAGGAUGCCUUCUGAAAUCACAUCAUCCUGGGGUCUGUCAGCUCCAGCACGCACCCCCUGAGCUUCACUGCUGCUGCAGGCUGCUCACUGCUAGUUGACAGGCUGCCAAGCAGGGCUGCAUGAUGUAAACUUCUCCUAAAGAUACCACUCUGACCUACAGAAUCAUCUGGGUUGGAAAAGACCUUCAAGAUCACCAUCCCAACCACCAACCAACUAUGGGUAUGCAUGGAGUCUACUCUUUGUAAGCGCUUCACUUUCCAUGCAGGCUUGCAAAAAGCAGCUGAGUUAAAGAGCUGAAUGGAUGGCUCUCAUUUAACAGCUCGGCACAGGGCAGACAGAGCUAGAGGGUUUGUCCUAAAAAAAGACAAAGAGCUGCUGAACUUACGAAAUACAAAGUCAGGGGCUAAACUGCUGUCUUAACUGCUGCUAUCUCCUAGCUGCAGGGGUGCUCGUGCCUGUGAGCAUGGACUAAAAUGCUGCUUUGGCUGCAUUCAAAACCACCAGCACAGAUCGUAGGUAGAAAAGUACAUUUUUGCUUCAGCUUCCUGCCAUAAGCACAGAGCCAACGCUUGAACAAAGCCGUUGUGUGCUGUGCUCUGUCUGAGCUAAAACAUCUCUCCAGCAGAAUCGUGAGGCUUAUUUCCAAGAGCGCAGCCAAAUUCUUGAAGCCUCCAAAUGAAGGGGAGGGUUGUCACAUCGUAGCAGAGAAGGUUUUGCCUGCAGUGCUGCUAUUAUUCAUUUUUCACAUCAUCUAUAUCGAGGUCAGAACGCAUUUUUUACAUAGAGCUGCAACUUUGCUCGGAGUCUCUUUGUCAGGCUGUUGCUAGAUUACGAACCUCAGGAACAGAACAGCCUUUAUCAGACACUACCCGCAGAGAUACCGCCUCUUAGCCCUGCAUUUAAAAGCAGAUGGGAGAGGAGCAAAAAUCUCUUUAAACCCUACAUCUGCCUGCACAGACAGACCCCAGUGCUUCUAGCUCUUGUAAAAACCAGUUGGGUAAAAGUGGGUUUCGACAGCGUUCGGCAGAGACCGCCUCCACAUAGGCUGCACCUAAAGGCAGCUGGGGCAGCAGAGAACGGCCGCCUGUCCAUUAAGUGAGGUCUCUCAACAGGAAACUCUCUCCCCUUCUUUUCUUUCUGGUAUUUUUCUUUACUCAGGAAGGAAGCUCCCUCUCCAGAAACAAGCAUUCCCUGUGUAAUCUCGCUGCUCACAUGUCUCCAGGAUGGCUUCCAAUGACUCAGACGAGCAACAUGCACUCUACAGACGCUAAUGGUGCAUUUACGCUGUAACACAAGCUAGUCAAUAUUGCCCAUUUAUUAAUUGUGAUUUACAUAACAGCGCACAAUGGCAGCUGUUAAGUAAAUAAAAUAAUUUUCUCAAGAUCUGUAAUUAUGGUUUUACGAUUAUAAAAACAAACUAAAUAACAGAAAUGGAGCAAGCGCCAGCAAAUUGCAUGCCUUCUAUUUCUAUUGCAGAUCCAGUGGCCUGACAAGGGACAGAAACUGCAGCUCUUUUACUGCCUUUAAAACAAACACAGCCCUGCCUAAGCCUCGUGAUAGGUACAGUGCAUGAAAUGAGGCCACGAUGCACAACCCUGAGAUUAUUACUUUACUGUAACAAGCAGGAUGGAGGUCAGCAGGUCAAACCAUAUUAAGUCUAACCUGCUUUCAAUGCGCCAUUUUGACCCAAAGCAUAAAUGCAGUUUUCCCAGACUCUGGGUGGCCUGCGAGAUGCACGUUUCCAUUGUUUGUGCAUGGCUGAUGAUUAUUUUGCACUGAAGAUACGUACCUAUCCGACCCUGAAACAGAAAGCGUUAACAGAGAGUCAAAGUUGUGCUGCACACAAAGAGAAACAGUGACCUCCCUGCAGCCAAGGCGCUGGGAAAUAGAUGCUUCUCACUGACCUGCUGGGCAUUUUGUGUCACACACUGCAACUUUCACUUAGGUUGUUUAGACCUGUCCAUAAGAACAGCUCUUCCUGCUCUAAAAAGCAAAACAGAAGUUUUAGAUCAGAGAAGUAAAGCAGUACCUAUACGACGAGAGAUGCAAAGGCUCUCAAUCUGAAUUAAUUUUUUCUAGGUGCACUUCUAUUUCUUCCCCUGAGUGACAGCACCCCUGAUGAAAACCAGAGCACAGUAGUCUGCAGACAAAACAGAACCCACCUCCAUUAUUUAUCACCGCUCCUUGCAAACGCAGCCACCAGAAGCGUAUCUGCAACAGGUAUUUCAGAGAAGAGGAUCUGUAGCAUUUAAUAGUAUUUAAUUAGAGGCAGCCUUUGUAUCACUGCAGAGAGAAGAAGGUACAGGAAAAACUUGGCCGUCGUUCAAUGCAUAAAGCAGGAGGGCUGCUUAGUCCUGGAGGAUUCAGAAAAGCAAGUGAAUAAAAUACCCAGCCAACAGCACUGCUCCUGAGCAUGAGAACUGCCAUCGAGUCAUGCAUUCUCACAAUAUAAUCAGCAAUAAAAUUAAAAAAAACCUAAUGUUACAGUUUGACUGUGGAUACCAAUCAUCUCCGUAUCCACAUUAUUGGCUCGGUAGGUUUUAUUAAGAACAACUUCACAGCUACGCCUCUGCUCUGUUAGCAGUGCAAAAAUUUACAAAGCAUUGAGAAAGAAAACGAAACAGAUUUAAUGGCUGAGAAUGAUAGCAUUUGUAAAUCUCCUUUCCCCUUUAUAAAAGAGGUUUGCAAGCAAAGAACUGUGCAUUAUUCAUCGCUCACGUUAAGCUGCCUCCACAUGGCACAUACGCUGUCACCCUGGUAAUUUCUCUUCUACCCAGGCACUACACAAACAGCUGGCUCCUUUGGGUUUUUAUGCAGUGCUUUAAAAGCUAAAAUGAGAGCCCUCCAUGAACAGGUAAAGCUGAAGGGUGUCCAGCUGCUUCUGCCAGAGAUCAGCACAGCCAGCGCAACCGGGACGGCAGAAGCUGUUCGUUCUGUUGCUUUGCCCUCAGCCAUGCAAAAGCUACUAAAUUAUAAAGGGCAACAUCUGCUUUCCCUGCCAACCAGCAAAAGAAAACAAACCCAGUGUGUGCUGAGGACAGAAAGCCUACAUUUCUCCUAUCGCCGUGCUGUAAAUGUUUCUUCAAGUUGAAAUAUGUGUUUGUAAUACUCCUUGUCUUCAUCUGUCACCAUACGGUAUCCAUGUAAUUUGUCACCAGCCUCAAAGACUUCCUGGUCUGAUACCGAAGCUUUUUAUAAAAGAAAUGCAAUUUUCACACUGAAAAAGAAACGUGAGAUAAGAGGCCUCCUUAAAUGACUGUCUUAAAUGCCUGUUAACCCAAUCCAGGAAGGCAGUCUUUAGAGAUACUAUAGUGGAUCUGCCAAGUGAAGCCGCUCAGAGCCAGCUGCGGGUCCAGCUGAGACAGCUGGCACUGAUGGACCAGGCUGCAAACUGCAGGGACUGAGGGUGCAAUCACCUUGUUCAGCAGGUUACCUUUGCAGGCUGUGAUCUCUAGCAGAGGCUGUUGCAUACAUAGCAACCUCGAGCAAAUGCUCUGCUGAAUAAAAAACAGCACUAUUCAUGGAAUCACGGAAUGCCUUGGGUUGGAAUGGAUCUUAAAGAUCGCUGAGUUCCAACUCCCUGCUGUGGGCUGGGAGCUCAGCCUGCCCAGGGCCCAUCAAUGGCCUUGGGCACCUCCAGGGAUGGGGCACCCACAGCUCUGGGCAGCAGUGCCAGGGCCUCACCUCCCUCCAAGUGAAAAAUUUCCCCCUAACAUCUUAUCUAAACCUCCCCUCUUUAUUUUUAACGUCAUUCCUCAGAAAGUAUUUUGUUAUAAUGACAUAGUGAGGCACAUCUUUAGAAGCAGUAGAAAUCUCGCUUUAACUCUGUCAUUCCUGCUGGAGAACAGGCACAUGAAUUAAAGCAUUACAAGAAGCAAAUCUACUGCUUCUCUGCAACAUAAAGGCAGUAGGAAGGUGGUGUGUAAAGGGACUUCAUGCUCUGCAUUCAACUGAGCAGCAAGUUCAUUCUGAAGAGAGACUCUUCUGAGUAUCUGUGCAACACACAGGCCCCACAACAGCUCAGGGUGCUUACUUUCUAGAUGCACAUCAGUUCCUUCUUAUUAAACCGUGGCACAGAGCUGUGGAACCACUAAUUUGUGAGAAACUUCUCCCUCCAGAGAAGAGCUAACUGGAAACAGCCCUCAGGCUGAUGUAAGCAUUGAGUACGUGGGGAGUCUCUGUCCUUAGGUGGCUUGCCCGAGCCCAUUAAUUUGUGUGUGUGUGUGUCCCCCAUUUAUAUAAGCAAUGUUUGUAUGAAAGGGGAAAGCAGGUCAGCCCAGUCGGCUUGCUACCAUCUGCUUUUAUUCAGAGUUACUCAAGAUCAGUGCCAGUGGGAUCAGUGCCCGUUUAGGGGGUUUUAUUGUGUGUAUUUAUUUUUUGCUCUUUACAAUGAAGGCAACAGCAAUUACUGUAAGUUUGUAAAAGUGCACACAAAUCAUAAUACACAAUACAAAGCUGCUUCAGUCAGAUCCCAGCGUGUUUACAAAUCCUCCACAGGCUGUGAGAAAGACUGCUUUGGCACAACAACUUGGAGAGCCUGGUAAGGAGCAGCGUGUGAGUGUCUAGGAGAUCACAGACUGUAUGUGAUACUUGCUGUCAAGAGCACACCUUGCCUGCCAUGCACAGCAACUCCAACAGAUUCACCACCACAUGAGAAUUGUGCACAAAAGAAGCGGAUGAGCAUUAGGGAAAUUAGCAAAGCUGCUGUAACCUACUUGUAUGAAAUCCCUCUUUGCUCCUCGACAGGCUUACAAUAGGUGGAUUUAUACUACUGGAAAGUGGAGCUGGUAAAAAGAAAAAUAAUCAAAGAUUAAAAAGCCAGAAUGGAAAUAGAAAUUUCAGGCCCUCAGAUAGAAACACAUAGGAGUGGAUAUGCAGCACCAAGAGGUACUCUUCAGUUACAGAGAAUUCUGCCUAGAAUCUGCCUCAUCACCAAAGGUAGAAGAUAGAAAAAUAAACCCCACACAGAAAUAACAAAGCUUGAUAUUGACAGGGACAGCACAUUCCUCAGGGACCACCCUGGGUACCACGUGAUACUUUGAGGCAAAAA
Molecule: long non-coding RNA, 13471 nt
Organism: Gallus gallus (chicken)
Lineage: Eukaryota; Metazoa; Chordata; Aves; Galliformes; Phasianidae
Exons: 4
Source: RefSeq, a predicted model, not a curated record